GAUGAACGCUGGCGGCGUGCCUAAUACAUGCCAGUCGAGCGAACAGAUGAGGAGCUUGCUCCUCUGACGUUAGCGGCGGACGGGUGAGUAACACGUGGAUAACCUACCUAUAAGACUGGGAUAACUUCGGGAAACCGGAGCUAAUACCGGAUAAUAUAUUGAACCGCAUGGUUCAAUAGUGAAAGACGGUUUUGCUGUCACUUAUAGAUGGAUCCGCGCCGCAUUAGCUAGUUGGUAAGGUAACGGCUUACCAAGGCAACGAUGCGUAGCCGACCUGAGAGGGUGAUCGGCCACACUGGAACUGAGACACGGUCCAGACUCCUACGGGAGGCAGCAGUAGGGAAUCUUCCGCAAUGGGCGAAAGCCUGACGGAGCAACGCCGCGUGAGUGAUGAAGGUCUUCGGAUCGUAAAACUCUGUUAUUAGGGAAGAACAAAUGUGUAAGUAACUAUGCAUGUCUUGACGGUACCUAAUCAGAAAGCCACGGCUAACUACGUG
RNAcentral lists this ribosomal RNA (497 nucleotides) under uncultured bacterium. RNAcentral's name for it is "partial 16S ribosomal RNA". It matches the Rfam family "Bacterial small subunit ribosomal RNA", at positions 28 to 507 of the family's 1533-position model. The record is from RNAcentral.